UGCUGUUGGAGCCUGGAAUUCUCUCUCUGUGUCUCUUGUUCAAUCACUUUCUCUCUUCUUCUCUGUUUUUCCCACUUUCAUCUUGUCUUAUGAGCAAGCCCCCCGUUUAAAACCUAAACCUAUCCUUAUUUCUAGCCAAGCCUGAUCCGCUUCCAAAUCCUCCCUGCCCUGCCUGCCAACACCAGGAGCACAGAAGAGAAGGGAAGAACUCAAAGAGGAUUCUUUCUUCAUCCUGCAGAGGGAAGACGUGCGUGAGAGCGUUUGCUGUGUCAGCUCAUGAGCAGCAGGCAGUAGCACCUGAUGUCUUUGUUGCUAAGCUCCUGCUCCUGUCUAGCAACUGUCACCGCAGAAACUAUCCUGGGAGUGUGCCCCUGUUGCUUGGAGACGUGAACUCUGUUGACAGGCUGACAGUUUGACCCCCGCUAUGCUCUACAAUGACUGCAGCAGCAUGUCAUUCUCAUCUGGAUACACAUCGCCGCCGUCUCUCUGACUUCAACCUGAGAUGCUGGUCACUAUUGCAUGGAAAAGAGCUGCUUGAACAUCCUACUAAACAUCUCCGUUUGUGUUCAAGAAAACAAGGACAGUGAGUAACAAGACAACGGGUUUGGAGUGACGUGGGUCUGUGUGGGAAUGUAGGUCUCUCAGGGCCGGUCGGUCGGGUCAGAGCAGGCUUACGGCUGUAAUCUCCCCAGCAGACGUCCAUAUCAGGAGCGGCAGGAGGAGGUGUGACGCUCGUCUAGACGGGCCGCAGACGCUUCCCCUCCCCCAGAGACCUGCUGUUCCUGGCACACAACGGACCACGGGGCAUUCACAUUAUACUGAGGGAAUUUUCUCUCACAGAAACUCAUUCACAUUGUGUAUGAAGCCUCAUGGAAUAUUAAAAUGUGACAGCUGGGGGAAAACAAAAUGUGAAUCUGAAACUCAAAAACAAU
Molecule: long non-coding RNA, 932 nt
Organism: Cyprinus carpio carpio
Lineage: Eukaryota; Metazoa; Chordata; Actinopteri; Cypriniformes; Cyprinidae
Source: Ensembl